AGUGAACGCUGGCGGUAGGCCUAACACAUGCAAGUCGAACGGCAGCACAGUAAGAGCUUGCUCUUACGGGUGGCGAGUGGCGGACGGGUGAGGAAUACAUCGGAAUCUACUUUUUCGUGGGGGAUAACGUAGGGAAACUUACGCUAAUACCGCAUACGACCUACGGGUGAAAGCAGGGGAUCUUCGGACCUUGCGCGAUUGAAUGAGCCGAUGUCGGAUUAGCUAGUUGGCGGGGUAAAGGCCCACCAAGGCGACGAUCCGUAGCUGGUCUGAGAGGAUGAUCAGCCACACUGGAACUGAGACACGGUCCAGACUCCUACGGGAGGCCGCAGUGGGGAAUAUUGGACAAUGGGCGCAAGCCUGAUCCAGCCAUCCCGCGUGGGUGAAGAAGGCCUUCGGGUUGUAAAGCCCUUUUGUUGGGAAAGAAAAGCAGCAGGUUAAUACCCCGCUGUUCUGACGGUACCCAAAGAAUAAGCACCGGCCAACUUCGUG
Molecule: ribosomal RNA, 492 nt
Filed under: uncultured bacterium
Lineage: Bacteria
Description: partial 16S ribosomal RNA
Rfam family: Bacterial small subunit ribosomal RNA
Source: RNAcentral